CCUACGGGCGGCAGCAGUGGGGAAUAUUGCGCAAUGGGCGAAAGCCUGACGCAGCGACGCCGCGUGAGGGAUGAAGGUCUUCGGAUCGUAAACCUCUGUCAGCGGGGAAGAACGGUCACUGUGCUAAUCAGCAGUGAAUUGACGGUACCUGCAGAGGAAGCACCGGCUAACUCCGUGCCAGCAGCCGCGGUAAUACGGAGGGUGCGAGCGUUAAUCGGAAUUACUGGGCGUAAAGCGCUCGUAGGCGGUAUGUCAAGUCAAGGGUGAAAUCCCCGCGCUCAACGUGGGAACUGCCUUUGAAACUGGCAAACUGGAGUGUGGUAGAGGGUAGUGGAAUUCCAGGGGUAGGAGUGAAAGCCGUAGAUAUCUGGAGGAACAUCAGUGGCGAAGGCGACUAUCUGGCACAUAACUGACGCUGAGGAGCGAAAGCGUGGGUAGCAAACAGGAUUAGAUACCCUGGUAGUC
Molecule: ribosomal RNA, 465 nt
Filed under: uncultured bacterium
Lineage: Bacteria
Description: partial 16S ribosomal RNA
Rfam family: Bacterial small subunit ribosomal RNA
Source: RNAcentral